RNAcentral lists this unclassified non-coding RNA (404 nucleotides) under Hevea brasiliensis (rubber tree). The record is from RNAcentral. Lineage: Eukaryota; Viridiplantae; Streptophyta; Magnoliopsida; Malpighiales; Euphorbiaceae.
GCUUAUGAUUGUCGAAUCAAGCUUUUCUUUGGGUCCAUUGGUGCACACAUCCAAGAGAUCGAAGCCAAGUAUAUCAUUUGCUUUCUUGAAUAACUCAGCAGCAGCCUGCACACUCUGAGCUUCGGCUCCCAUUCCAACAGUUUGAGCACCCUGGCCGGGAAAGAGGAAAGCGUGAGUCGGCUGGUAAUCCUUGAACAGCGAGUCCUCGACUGCCACCGACGCCUGCGAUACGACCGAGGCAGCCAUGGAAACCCUAGAUCUCGCGAACCCCCUCUCGAGAGAGAUCCGGGCCGCAUUCCUGGAGGUCCUCGGGAGGGCGAGGGCCGGGAUCGGGGCGCAGGCGGCGAACGACAUUGAGGGAAGACGGUCGGUAGCGGCGGCGAGCGAGAUCGAGCUGGAGAGGG